RNAcentral lists this small RNA (109 nucleotides) under Staphylococcus aureus. RNAcentral describes it as "HMPRFS0000_2121". The record is from RNAcentral. Lineage: Bacteria; Bacillati; Bacillota; Bacilli; Caryophanales; Staphylococcaceae.
UUUGAUAAUUUAAUACGAUCACUAUAUGAACCAUCUUCAUUUUCAAUAGCUACAAGUUUAUAUACUGCACCUAAUGCUGGUUGAUCGUAUCCUGUAAUCAGCUUUGUAC